UGGGGAAUAUUGGGCAAUGGGCGAAAGCCUGACCCAGCAACGCCGCGUGAGGGAAGAAGGUUUUCGGAUCGUAAACCUCUGUCCUUGGGGACGAAAGAAAUGACGGUACCCAAGGAGGAAGCCCCGGCUAACUACGUGCCAGCAGCCGCGGUAAUACGUAGGGGGCGAGCGUUGUCCGGAAUGAUUGGGCGUAAAGGGCGCGUAGGCGGCCUGUUAAGUCUGGAGUGAAAUUCCUGCUUUCAAGGUAGGAAGUGCUUUGGAAACUGGCGGGCUGGAGUGCAGGAGAGGUUAGCGGAAUUCCCAGUGUAGCGGUGAAAUGCGUAGAGAUUGGGAGGAACACCAGUGGCGAAGGCGACUUACUGGGCCGUAACUGACGCUGAGGCGCGAAAGCGUGGGGAGCGAACAGG
RNAcentral lists this ribosomal RNA (407 nucleotides) under uncultured prokaryote. RNAcentral describes it as "bacterial SSU rRNA". It matches the Rfam family "Bacterial small subunit ribosomal RNA", at positions 355 to 776 of the family's 1533-position model. RNAcentral also lists the same sequence under 1 other name. The record is from RNAcentral.